Molecule: transfer RNA, 90 nt
Filed under: Streptococcus pyogenes
Lineage: Bacteria; Bacillati; Bacillota; Bacilli; Lactobacillales; Streptococcaceae
Description: tRNA-Ser(tga)
Rfam family: tRNA
About the family: Transfer RNA (tRNA) molecules are approximately 80 nucleotides in length.
Source: RNAcentral
GGAGGAUUACCCAAGUCCGGCUGAAGGGAACGGUCUUGAAAACCGUCAGAUGUGUAAAAGCGUGCGUGGGUUCGAAUCCCACAUCCUCCU